CUACGUAGGGGGCGAGCGUUGUCCGGAAUGAUUGGGCGUAAAGGGCGCGUAGGCGGCCGCUUAAGUCUGGAGUGAAAGUCCUGUUUUCAAGAUGGGAAUUGCUCUGGAUACUGGGGGGCUUGAGUGCAGGAGAGGUUAUCGGAAUUCCCGGUGUAGCGGUGAAAUGCGUAGAGAUCGGGAGGAACACCAGUGGCGAAGGCGGGUAACUGGACUGCAACUGACGCUGAGGCGCGAAAGUGUGGGGAGCAAACAGGAUUAGAUACCCUGGUAGUCCACACUGUAAACGAUGAAUGCUAGGUGUAAGAGGUAUCGACCCCUUUUGUGCCGGAGUCAACACAAUAAGCAUUCCGCCUGGGGAGUACGGCCGCAAGGUUGAAACUCAAAUGAAUUGACGGGG
RNAcentral lists this ribosomal RNA (397 nucleotides) under uncultured bacterium. RNAcentral describes it as "partial 16S ribosomal RNA". It matches the Rfam family "Bacterial small subunit ribosomal RNA", at positions 523 to 918 of the family's 1533-position model. The record is from RNAcentral.